Gossypium hirsutum (cotton) is the source of this 87-nucleotide non-coding RNA. The record is from Rfam. Lineage: Eukaryota; Viridiplantae; Streptophyta; Magnoliopsida; Malvales; Malvaceae.
UGCAAUCUAUGAUGAAAAUGAAUAAUCAAACCUGAUUUAUGUUAUGAUGGUUAUAUAAAUAAUCACCAUCUUUCGGCUGAGAUUGCU